UUGCCUUUUGGUGUUUCUUUUUGGCUGGCCGGGUUAGAGCAUCAUCAACGCGGGUGCUUAGCCUGGGUUUUUAGUGUUUUUAGAUUUAAAAAAAAGGAAAAUUGUGUAAUUAAAGAAGCCACGCUGCUUAAUUAAGAGUCAGAAGACCCGUUGCUUAUGAACACGUGUCAGACAUUCACCAUUCUUCCUCUCUCUAGACGAAAUCGUCCGCCUCUCCCUUUUCCCGAUCACACGGUGGGUGAUGGAAAAAGAACACAGAGCCUCCUCCCUCCAUUCAAGAUGCCUCCGUUCACCGCCGUGGCUGUUGAUGCGACAGACAGUUUCCAGUUUCUUCGUCGGAGGAUCUCAGCAAGAAGAUUAAGAAGCCUUAUACCAUCACCAAGUCGAGGGAGAGCUGGACGGAGCCUGAGCACGACAAGUUCCUCGAAGCUCUUCAGCUGUUUGACAGAGACUGGAAGAAGAUUAAAGCUUUUAUUGGAUCAAAAAUUGUGAUUCAGGUACAGUAAAUUGGAAGAAGAUUGAAGCUUUUAAAACGACUUUACUCCCGUAGCUUUGUUUUAUUUUCAACUUUAUGUUGUGUAAUGUGUAGUGUUGACGCUUUGGCUUCACCAGGAAUCAAAGAGAAAACUUGUUUUUUAUAUGAAACCGCAAGCUUUCUCUUUGAUUCUUGUUCUCACUUCGCACUUGGUGAGCUUCUCUCAGUCUUACUCUGUUUUUACUUAUCUUACUUCACUCUCUGUUUUUGUCUUCACUCACUCUUCUUGUUUCUUACUUGUGUUACAACUUACAACCAAACACAAGCACAUACUCUCUUUUAUCUCUCUUGUUUGUUUGUUGCUGUACAGAAGAGAGAACACUUAUUUGUCUACAUUGUUAACC
Long non-coding RNA from Raphanus sativus (radish), 879 nucleotides. RefSeq lists it as uncharacterized. The record is from RefSeq and is a predicted model, not a curated record. The transcript has 2 exons. Lineage: Eukaryota; Viridiplantae; Streptophyta; Magnoliopsida; Brassicales; Brassicaceae.